GUGCCUUUGGCCGAGUGGUUAAGGUGGUGGACUGCUAAUCCAUUGUGCUUCGCACGCGUGAGUUCGAAUCUCACAGGGCACG
Molecule: non-coding RNA, 82 nt
Organism: Zophobas morio
Lineage: Eukaryota; Metazoa; Arthropoda; Insecta; Coleoptera; Tenebrionidae
Source: the annotation of a RefSeq genome assembly